RNAcentral lists this unclassified non-coding RNA (356 nucleotides) under Hevea brasiliensis (rubber tree). The record is from RNAcentral. Lineage: Eukaryota; Viridiplantae; Streptophyta; Magnoliopsida; Malpighiales; Euphorbiaceae.
AAAAAAAAUUUAAUUAUUUAUUCAUUCACUAAAUAUGUGCCUUGUGGGUAGGGAAGAGCUAGCAGUUGGAACCUCAUGGAACCUGGCCUUAAAUUAGAGCCACCAAAUGUACAAGUGCAGCUACAAUGAGUAAUUUCUUAUGGUUUAUAAUCAUGCAAGCGACCUGAGGUAAGGAUGGCUUACGCACAAGCAACACAUCCACUGAAGUGGCAACAAUAGUCACAUGCACUUUUCUCUUAAAAUGGCAGAAAUAUCUCUUGUUCUAUCUUCUCCUAAGAAAUACAGAAGUCUUAUAAUUCAUAAUUCUAUAUAUAGUUAGUCCAUUAAUUCUUUAUGCAGUUCCAUGUUUUAUCACA